This 272-nucleotide ribosomal RNA is filed under the name uncultured bacterium. RNAcentral's name for it is "partial 16S ribosomal RNA". It matches the Rfam family "Bacterial small subunit ribosomal RNA", at positions 521 to 792 of the family's 1533-position model. The record is from RNAcentral.
UAAUACGUAGGUGACAAGCGUUGUCCGGAUUUACUGGGCGUAAAGAGCGCGCAGGCGGUCGAUCAAGUCGAGUGUGAAAGCCCCCGGCUCAACUGGGGAGGGUCAUUCGAAACUGGUCGACUCGAAGGCAGGAGAGGGUAGUGGAAUUCCCGGUGUAGUGGUGAAAUGCGUAGAUAUCGGGAGGAACACCAGUGGCGAAGGCGACUACCUGGCCUGUUCUUGACGCUGAGGCGCGAAAGCUAGGGGAGCAAACGGGAUUAGAUACCCCGGUA